Molecule: unclassified non-coding RNA, 214 nt
Filed under: Hevea brasiliensis (rubber tree)
Lineage: Eukaryota; Viridiplantae; Streptophyta; Magnoliopsida; Malpighiales; Euphorbiaceae
Source: RNAcentral
GGCAGGUAUGUUGGCAUGAUUACAGAUACCACUGAUCGUCCCAUUUUGCUCUCGCUCCACAACAGGAUAGAUGGCAUUAGAUUUCAACCGAGUAUACUUCUCGAAUUUUUUAAUUUCCUUUAGCAGCACAUUUUUCAGCUUCUCAGUCUCCUCAUGUUCCCAGUUAUCAACAACAAACACAUCCAAGGAGUAGCCAUCCAUUGUGGAAAAGGCA